This 662-nucleotide ribosomal RNA is filed under the name Synechocystis aquatilis SAG 90.79. RNAcentral's name for it is "bacterial SSU rRNA". It matches the Rfam family "Bacterial small subunit ribosomal RNA", at positions 99 to 795 of the family's 1533-position model. The record is from RNAcentral. Lineage: Bacteria; Bacillati; Cyanobacteriota; Cyanophyceae; Synechococcales; Merismopediaceae.
CGGACGGGUGAGUAACGCGUGAGAACCUGCCUCUAAGUCGGGGACAACAGUUGGAAACGACUGCUAAUACCGGAUGAGCCGUAUUGGUAAAAGAUUUAUCGCUUAGAGAGGGGCUCGCGUCUGAUUAGCUAGAUGGUAGUGUAAAAGACAACCAUGGCGACGAUCAGUAGCUGGUCUGAGAGGAUGAUCAGCCACACUGGGACUGAGACACGGCCCAGACUCCUACGGGAGGCAGCAGUGGGGAAUUUUCCGCAAUGGGCGAAAGCCUGACGGAGCAAUACCGCGUGAGGGAGGAAGGCUCUUGGGUUGUAAACCUCAAAACUUAGGGAAGAAAAAAAUGACGGUACCUAAUAUAAGCAUCGGCUAACUCCGUGCCAGCAGCCGCGGUAAUACGGAGGAUGCAAGCGUUAUCCGGAAUCAUUGGGCGUAAAGAGUCCGUAGGUGGCACAUCAAGUCUGCUUUUAAAGACCGAAGCUCAACUUCGGAAAGGGAGUGGAAACUGAAGAGCUAGAGUAUAGUAGGGGUAGAGGGAAUUCCUAGUGUAGCGGUGAAAUGCGUAGAGAUUAGGAAGAACACCAGUGGCGAAGGCGCUCUACUGGGCAUAUACUGACACUGAGGGACGAAAGCUAGGGGAGCAAAUGGGAUUAGAUACCCCAGUAGUC